CCGAGCGGCCCCGCGGGGGAAGGACCGCGUCCGCCCCCGGUGACCCCGCGGCCGCCGGGCAGGCAGCGGUGAGUUCCUCCGGGACUCUCCCAGACCGCGCCCACUCCUUCCCGGUACUCAGAACGACCACCCGCAGAUUGAUCAAACUACUUUAACUGCAAAGGGUCCCAGGACACCCUUAUCUCAUAUAUUUGUGUGUGAAUGUAUAUAUCUACCUAAAGUUGAUGUUGAACCCCAAUUUAAGAGAGAGAGAGAAUGUGUGCACCAGGGCCUCCAGAUGCUGCAAACGAACUCCAGGCUGUGAGAAAACCUGCCUGGUACCACAGCGUCACACAGUGCUGGCACCAGAGAAGUCUUGGGACACAAAACUGGAUUUAGGUGCAUGUUUGAAGUGAGGCACUGUUAGCCCAGAGCAGGGUUCAACAUCCACCAGAGAUGUGGCUGGAAUCAAGUUGCAGAGGUGUGCCACAGUACACAGAAGCCUCUUAUAAGCCUGCAUCAUACACUGUUGGACCUGUAUAAAUCUAUUUCCUUCAUCCUUUCAGUAAUCAGAAUGCUGUGUUCAGGAUAAGUCUGGUAAAAGGGAUUUUAUAAAAGAUUGUACUAGAAGCUGUAUGUUUAACACUUUUAACCUUGAUUCAUAUUUGUUUAUAGGAAAAAGUAACAGUGGAACUUGUAAAAUUGAAAAAAUUGAUUCUACUUAAAAAUUUUGAUCAUCAGGAAGAGAUAUCUUCUGUUCUCAUGUAAGCUCAGAAAUCAUCAGGAAUUGUUUGGAAAAAAUCUGAAGAAAUAAAAUUAUUUCUUGUGUCUCUUA
This is a long non-coding RNA of Jaculus jaculus (lesser Egyptian jerboa), 814 nucleotides long. RefSeq lists it as uncharacterized. The transcript has 4 exons. NCBI's taxonomy places the organism in Eukaryota, Metazoa, Chordata, Mammalia, Rodentia, Dipodidae. The record is from RefSeq and is a predicted model, not a curated record.